UACGUAGGGUGCGAGCGUUGCCCGGAUUUAUUGGGCGUAAAGCGCGCGCAGGCGGCCUCGCGCGCCCGACGUGAAAGCCCCCGGCUUAACCGGGGAGGGUCGUUGGGGACGGCGGGGCUUGAGGGCGGGAGAGGGUGGUGGAAUUCCCGGUGUAGUGGUGAAAUGCGUAGAGAUCGGGAGGAACACCCGUGGCGAAGGCGGCCACCUGGGCCGAUACUGACGCUGAGGAGCGAAAGCGUGGGGAGCGAACAGG
RNAcentral lists this ribosomal RNA (253 nucleotides) under uncultured bacterium. RNAcentral's name for it is "partial 16S ribosomal RNA". It matches the Rfam family "Bacterial small subunit ribosomal RNA", at positions 524 to 776 of the family's 1533-position model. The record is from RNAcentral.